This 464-nucleotide ribosomal RNA is filed under the name uncultured bacterium. RNAcentral's name for it is "partial 16S ribosomal RNA". It matches the Rfam family "Bacterial small subunit ribosomal RNA", at positions 28 to 506 of the family's 1533-position model. The record is from RNAcentral.
GACGAACGCUGGCGGCGUGCUUAACACAUGCAAGUCGAACGGAAAGGCCCCUUUGGGGGUACUCGAGUGGCGAACGGGUGAGUAACACGUGAGUAACCUGCCCUUGACUUCGGGAUAACUUCAGGAAACUGGGGCUAAUACCGGAUAGGAAUCCUUGCUGCAUGGGGGGGGUUGGAAAGCUUCGGCGGUUUUGGAUGGACUCGCGGCUUAUCAGCUUGUUGGUGGGGUAGUGGCUUACCAAGGCUUUGACGGGUAGCCGGCCUGAGAGGGCGACCGGCCACAUUGGGACUGAGAUACGGCCCAGACUCCUACGGGAGGCAGCAGUGGGGAAUAUUGCACAAUGGGCGGAAGCCUGAUGCAGCAACGCCGCGUGCGGGAUGACGGCCUUCGGGUUGUAAACCGCUUUCAGCAGGGGCGAAGCUUGUGGUGACGGUACCUGCAGAAGAAGCACCGGCAACCUACGU